AGGCGCGUAGCUCAGGUGGCUAGAGCGCUACCUUGACACGGUAGAGGUCGGCGGUUCAAGUCCGCCCGCGCCUACCA
This 77-nucleotide transfer RNA is filed under the name Marinithermus hydrothermalis DSM 14884. Its description in RNAcentral is "tRNA-Val (GAC) (tRNA-Val-GAC-2-1)". It matches the Rfam family "tRNA". From Rfam's summary of the family: Transfer RNA (tRNA) molecules are approximately 80 nucleotides in length. Their secondary structure includes four short double-helical elements and three loops (D, anti-codon, and T loops). Further hydrogen bonds mediate the characteristic L-shaped molecular structure. tRNAs have two regions of fundamental functional importance: the anti-codon, which is responsible for specific mRNA codon recognition, and the 3' end, to which the tRNAs corresponding amino acid is attached (by aminoacyl-tRNA synthetases). tRNAs cope with the degeneracy of the genetic code in two manners: having more than one tRNA (with a specific anti-codon) for a particular amino acid; and 'wobble' base-pairing, i.e. permitting non-standard base-pairing at the 3rd anti-codon position. Lineage: Bacteria; Thermotogati; Deinococcota; Deinococci; Thermales; Thermaceae. The record is from RNAcentral.